Non-coding RNA from Xylanimonas cellulosilytica DSM 15894, 97 nucleotides. It matches the Rfam family "Bacterial small signal recognition particle RNA". From Rfam's summary of the family: The signal recognition particle (SRP) is a universally conserved ribonucleoprotein involved in the co-translational targeting of proteins to membranes. Archaeal SRP consists of a 7S RNA and homologues of the eukaryotic SRP19 and SRP54 proteins. In most bacteria, the SRP consists of a 4.5S RNA and the Ffh protein (a homologue of the eukaryotic SRP54 protein). NCBI's taxonomy places the organism in Bacteria, Bacillati, Actinomycetota, Actinomycetes, Micrococcales, Promicromonosporaceae. The record is from Rfam.
GCAGACCCCUCGUGCGGCGACAUCGUGCCGAACUCCCCCAGGGCCGGAAGGCAGCAAGGGUAGGUGCGCUCUGUCGGGUGUGCGAGGGGUCCUUUCA